RNAcentral lists this unclassified non-coding RNA (226 nucleotides) under Hevea brasiliensis (rubber tree). The record is from RNAcentral. Lineage: Eukaryota; Viridiplantae; Streptophyta; Magnoliopsida; Malpighiales; Euphorbiaceae.
UCCAAUUCCACCCCCAUGAUUAAUGCCAAACCCUAUUAAGAUCCUAUUGCCACAAUGGGGCAGGGGAACAGGACGAGGUUCAAACCUCGUCAAGCACCCGGUACGUUCUCGCCUUUGUCUAAAAUUGUUGACGAAAUCCCUUCACCGCUGCUGGACAGCACCUAAAAAACCUCCAAAAUUCCAAUUUAACACCAGCGGACAAAAAGGAAGCCCGCGGCGGGGUGGG